This 848-nucleotide long non-coding RNA is filed under the name Astyanax mexicanus (Mexican tetra). RNAcentral's name for it is "lncRNA (ENSAMXG00005000324.1)". The record is from RNAcentral. Lineage: Eukaryota; Metazoa; Chordata; Actinopteri; Characiformes; Acestrorhamphidae.
CCACAGUGCUUUACCCAGUUGUCAGCUGUUUAGAUCAAGUCAAGCAGCAUUAUUGGGACUAGCUCAUCUUGAAGCUCAAUUGAUCCUAAACCAGCUGGGAAACCACAACACCUAUUUAAACCCUUUUCUUCCCAGCUUCUUACAAGCAUUUCAGAAUUUACAGAAUGCAGCAAAUCUGUCCCUGUAUCAGCCUCCAAGACCUGCAGUAUUCCCAGUGCUAAAGAAUUCAAAUGCUCACGUUAACCCUGCAUCUGAGGACGUCUUCUCUUUAGACUUGAAAGAUGGAAUGGAGACCACCAAAGCCAAACAUCAGAGUGAUGUUUCUCAACAGCAGAAACUAGAUUCCUCUUUAAGUAAGGAUAAAAAGGUACCGCUGAGUUUAGGCUUAGACCAGAUGACACAAGCAGUGAUGAGUUAUACUGUGCAUCCUUCUGUAAAUCAGCGCAAAACUCCAAGAACAGUCCCUCUCAGUGCAUCAUCAACGUAUAAAUCAAGGAAAGACUGGAGGAAACCAUACAGAGGUUCAGCUCACUCAAAAAGAAAUCAUCACACUAGUGGACUUCGAGAUAAGCACCACAAGGAGUGGCAGGAACAUCAUUCUCCAUCCCAUUCUGUAUCUCCGACGCCUUCAUGGUCUCCCAGCCCUCCACCCUUUAGCCACCAAAUACGCUCCCAAAGCCCUCAAAGCUCUGGUAGAUACAGCCCUUCUGAUCUUGUAUAUGGAUCCUCUUCUUCUGAACAUGGACCUUCAGAAAAGAAGGGAGAACAUCCAGGUCAUGAGAAUUUGACGAAUAAGCAUGUGGACGUCAUUAAGCGAAAAGUUGGUCCAAAUCCAAAUGGAAAAGGGC